AAGGGUACAGAGAAUGAGCAGCUUGGAGGAGUUUGAAUGACUCAAGGCAAAGGAAGAAGGGAAAGGAAAUCAUCUUCUGAAGAUCUCUAAAAGGAAUGAGGAAUCUUGUCUGGGAUUAGACACUGAAGGAUUUUGAGCAAGGAACCCAGGUCAGAGGUUUCUGCAGUGAAUUCGUGAUCCGUGGCUCAUGGGAAGGAAGGGAGAGCAGAGCCGCUAUCUUCCAAGUCACACAGCGAGACCCAGGAGGCAGGAGCCAAUAAAAUCUUAAAGACACCCAAGGACCAGGCCCACACAUUCCAAAUGCUUCUUAGGCCCCUGAUGGCCUUGACUUGUGACCUGCUGCCAGCACCACAGAGCAGCUGCCCUGGGAGCAACACUCACAAAGAAGCACAGUGUUGGAGAGAAAACUGCAAAUGACAAGAAAAAUAUGUAUUGAUUAUGUAUUGAUUAAUACAUGAAAUUAACGUCAGUUUUUUUAAGAAACCUUUAUUUCAAUGGCAUUACUGUACCUUCAUUUCCUUUUCUGUUGUAUUGCGUGUCCUCAACUUAAAAUGGAUGUAUGGACUAAAAUGCAAGGUACCCAGCAGAAAUACCAAAUUCCCACCUCACUCACACAAGGUAUGAACUAAUACAGUGGAUUUAGUGUGUAGCAUGUAAAAUCAAGCAAGAAGAAAUGCCGAAACCGG
Molecule: long non-coding RNA, 686 nt
Filed under: Equus caballus (horse)
Lineage: Eukaryota; Metazoa; Chordata; Mammalia; Perissodactyla; Equidae
Description: lncRNA (ENSECAG00000059627.1)
Source: RNAcentral